GACGAACGCUGGCGGCGUGCCUAAUACAUGCAAGUCGAACGCUUCUUUCCUCCCGAGUGCUUGCACUCAAUUGGAAAGAGGAGUGGCGGACGGGUGAGUAACACGUGGGUAACCUACCCAUCAGAGGGGGAUAACACUUGGAAACAGGUGCUAAUACCGCAUAACAGUUUAUGCCGCAUGGCAUAAGAGUGAAAGGCGCUUUCGGGUGUCGCUGAUGGAUGGACCCGCGGUGCAUUAGCUAGUUGGUGAGGUAACGGCUCACCAAGGCCACGAUGCAUAGCCGACCUGAGAGGGUGAUCGGCCACACUGGAACUGAGACACGGCCCAGACUCCUACGGGAGGCAGCAGUAGGGAAUCUUCGGCAAUGGACGAAAGUCUGACCGAGCAACGCCGCGUGAGUGAAGAAGGUUUUCGGAUCGUAAAACUCUGUUGUUAGAGAAGAACAAGGGCGUUAGUAACUGAACGUCCCCUGACGGUAUCUAACCAGAAAGCCACGGCUAACUACGUG
Molecule: ribosomal RNA, 508 nt
Filed under: uncultured bacterium
Lineage: Bacteria
Description: partial 16S ribosomal RNA
Rfam family: Bacterial small subunit ribosomal RNA
Source: RNAcentral